GCCCGCAUGGUGGAACUGGUAGACACGCAAGACUUAAAAUCUUGUGACCUUUUUGGUCGUGCCGGUUCGAUUCCGGCUGCGGGCACCA
RNAcentral lists this transfer RNA (88 nucleotides) under Kordiimonadaceae bacterium. RNAcentral's name for it is "tRNA-Leu". It matches the Rfam family "tRNA". Rfam says of the family: Transfer RNA (tRNA) molecules are approximately 80 nucleotides in length. Their secondary structure includes four short double-helical elements and three loops (D, anti-codon, and T loops). Further hydrogen bonds mediate the characteristic L-shaped molecular structure. tRNAs have two regions of fundamental functional importance: the anti-codon, which is responsible for specific mRNA codon recognition, and the 3' end, to which the tRNAs corresponding amino acid is attached (by aminoacyl-tRNA synthetases). tRNAs cope with the degeneracy of the genetic code in two manners: having more than one tRNA (with a specific anti-codon) for a particular amino acid; and 'wobble' base-pairing, i.e. permitting non-standard base-pairing at the 3rd anti-codon position. The record is from RNAcentral. Lineage: Bacteria; Pseudomonadati; Pseudomonadota; Alphaproteobacteria; Kordiimonadales; Kordiimonadaceae.